UACGUAGGUGGCGAGCGUUGUCCGGAUUUACUGGGCGUAAAGAGCGCGCAGGCGGUCGUACAAGUCGCGUGUGAAAGCCCCCGGCUCAACUGGGGAGGGUCACGCGAUACUGUUCGACUCGAAGGCAGGAGAGGGUAGUGGAAUUCCCGGUGUAGUGGUGAAACGCGUAGAUAUCGGGAGGAACACCAGUGGCGAAGGCGACUACCUGGCCUGUUCUUGACGCUGAGGCGCGAAAGCUAGGGUAGCAAACGGG
Molecule: ribosomal RNA, 253 nt
Filed under: uncultured bacterium
Lineage: Bacteria
Description: partial 16S ribosomal RNA
Rfam family: Bacterial small subunit ribosomal RNA
Source: RNAcentral